Molecule: ribosomal RNA, 253 nt
Filed under: uncultured Eubacteriales bacterium
Lineage: Bacteria; Bacillati; Bacillota; Clostridia; Eubacteriales
Description: uncultured Clostridiales bacterium partial 16S ribosomal RNA
Rfam family: Bacterial small subunit ribosomal RNA
Source: RNAcentral
UACGUAGGGGGCAAGCGUUAUCCGGAUUUACUGGGUGUAAAGGGGGCGCAGACGGCGAUGCAAGCCAGGAGUGAAAGCCCGGGGCCCAACCCCGGGACUGCUCUUGGAACUGCGUGGCUGGAGUGCAGGAGGGGCAGGCGGAAUUCGUGGUGUAGCGGUGAAAUGCAUAGAUAUCACGAAGAACUCCGAUUGCGAAGGCAGCUUACCAGUCUGCGACUGACGCUCAGGCACGAAAGUGUGGGUAUCGAACAGG